Molecule: ribosomal RNA, 345 nt
Filed under: uncultured Streptococcus sp.
Lineage: Bacteria; Bacillati; Bacillota; Bacilli; Lactobacillales; Streptococcaceae
Description: bacterial SSU rRNA
Rfam family: Bacterial small subunit ribosomal RNA
Source: RNAcentral
AGGUGGUGCAUGGUUGUCGUCAGCUCGUGUCGUGAGAUGUUGGGUUAAGUCCCGCAACGAGCGCAACCCCUAUUGUUAGUUGCCAUCAUUCAGUUGGGCACUCUAGCGAGACUGCCGGUAAUAAACCGGAGGAAGUGGGGAUGACGUCAAAUCAUCAUGCCCCUUAUGACCUGGGCUACACACGUGCUACAAUGGUUGGUACGACGAGUUGCGAGUCGGUGACGGCGAGCUAAUCUCUUAAAGCCAAAUCUCAGUUCGGAUUGUAGGCUGCAACUCGCCUACAUGAAGUCGGAAUCGCUAGUAAUCGCGGAUCAGCACGCCGCGGUGAAUACGUUCCCGGGCCUU